AGAGUUUGAUCAUGGCUCAGAACGAACGCUGGCGGCGUGCCUAACACAUGCAAGUCGCGCGAGAAAGUUCCCUUCGGGGAGCGAGUACAGCGGCGAACGGGUGAGUAACGCGUGGGUCACGUGCCCUUCGGUGGGGAAUAACCCAGGGAAACUUGGGCUAAUACCGCAUGAGCACUACGGUGGAAAGAUUGCCUCUUCUAUGCAAUCGCCGAAGGAGCGGCCCGCGUCCCAUUAGCUAGUUGGUGGGGUAAUGGCCUACCAAGGCUUCGAUGGGUAGCCGGCCUGAGAGGGUGUCCGGCCACACUGGGACUGAGACACGGCCCAGACUCCUACGGGAGGCUGCAGUGGGGAAUAUUGCGCAAUGGGCGAAAGCCUGACGCAGCGACGCCGCGUGCGGGAUGACGGCCUUCGGGUUGUAAACCGUUGUCGUGGGGGACGAAAAACCGGUGGAUGAAUAAGCCACCGGCCUGACGGUACCUCAUGAGAAAGCCCCGGCUAACUCCGUGCCAGCAGCCGCGGUAAUACGGAGGGGGCCAGCGUUGUUCGGAAUCACUGGGCGUAAAGGGUUCGUAGGCGGCCGCGUAAGUCUUGGGUGAAAUCCCCCGGCUCAACCGGGGAAUUGCCUGGGAAACUACGUGGCUUGAGUUCGGUAGAGGGAGAUGGAAUUCCGGGUGUAGCGGUGAAAUGCGUAGAUAUCCGGAGGAACACCAGUGGCGAAGGCGAUCUCCUGGGCCGAUACUGACGCUGAGGAACGAAAGCUAGGGGAGCAAACAGGAUUAGAUACCCUAGUAGUCC
RNAcentral lists this ribosomal RNA (795 nucleotides) under uncultured bacterium. RNAcentral's name for it is "bacterial SSU rRNA". It matches the Rfam family "Bacterial small subunit ribosomal RNA", at positions 8 to 796 of the family's 1533-position model. The record is from RNAcentral.